CGGAUACUAAAACUAGGGGAUAGAUACCCUACUAUGCUCAGCCGUCAACACAGGCAGCCAUCAUAACCCGCUGCCCGCCAGAGGAGUACAAGUGAAAAACUAGAAACUCAAAGGACUUGGCGGUACCCCACACCGACCUAGAGGAGCCUGUCCCCUAAUCGAUACUCCACGCUAAACCUAACCGGCCCUCGACAACCAGCCUAUAUACCGCCGUCGCCAGCCUGCCUAAUGAUAGCCAUACAGCAGGCCCAAUAGCCCAAGCUAGCACGUCAGGUCAAGGUGUAGCUAAUGGGCCGGGUGAAGAUGGGCUACAUUUUCUAUAACACAAGAAAACCUACCACAUGCUCACUGAAACACGAGACCCAAGGCGGAUUUAGCAGUAAACUAGGCAAGUUGAGCCUGAUUGAAACCUGCUCUGGGGUAUGUACACACCGCCGGUUCCACCCUA
Molecule: ribosomal RNA, 448 nt
Filed under: Ptyodactylus oudrii
Lineage: Eukaryota; Metazoa; Chordata; Lepidosauria; Squamata; Phyllodactylidae
Description: partial 12S ribosomal RNA
Rfam family: Bacterial small subunit ribosomal RNA
Source: RNAcentral